CCGACCUUAGCUCAGUUGGUAGAGCGGAAGACUGUAGAUCUUUUGGUCGCUGGUUUGAAUCCGGCAGGUCGGA
Molecule: transfer RNA, 73 nt
Filed under: Solanum lycopersicum (tomato)
Lineage: Eukaryota; Viridiplantae; Streptophyta; Magnoliopsida; Solanales; Solanaceae
Description: tRNA-Tyr (GTA) (tRNA-Tyr-GTA-8-1)
Rfam family: tRNA
About the family: Transfer RNA (tRNA) molecules are approximately 80 nucleotides in length. Their secondary structure includes four short double-helical elements and three loops (D, anti-codon, and T loops). Further hydrogen bonds mediate the characteristic L-shaped molecular structure. tRNAs have two regions of fundamental functional importance: the anti-codon, which is responsible for specific mRNA codon recognition, and the 3' end, to which the tRNAs corresponding amino acid is attached (by aminoacyl-tRNA synthetases). tRNAs cope with the degeneracy of the genetic code in two manners: having more than one tRNA (with a specific anti-codon) for a particular amino acid; and 'wobble' base-pairing, i.e. permitting non-standard base-pairing at the 3rd anti-codon position.
Source: RNAcentral